Molecule: ribosomal RNA, 428 nt
Filed under: uncultured prokaryote
Description: bacterial SSU rRNA
Rfam family: Bacterial small subunit ribosomal RNA
Source: RNAcentral
UGGGGAAUCUUGCGCAAUGGGGGAAACCCUGACGCAGCAACGCCGCGUGGGUGAUGAAGGCCUUCGGGUCGUAAAGCCCUGUCAGGUGGAAAGAAUCGUGCUGAUGCUAAUAUCAUCAGCAUUUGACGGUACCACCGGAGGAAGCACCGGCUAACUCCGUGCCAGCAGCCGCGGUAAUACGGAGGGUGCAAGCGUUGUUCGGAAUUAUUGGGCGUAAAGCGCGUGUAGGCGGUCAUGUAAGUCAGGUGUGAAAGCCUUCUGCUUAACGGAAGAAGUGCAUUUGAAACUGCAUGACUAGAGUACGGGAGAGGAGAGUGGAAGUCCCGGUGUAGAGGUGAAAUUCGUAGAUAUCGGGAGGAACACCAGUGGCGAAGGCGGCUCUCUGGAUCGAUACUGACGCUGAGACGCGAAAGCGUGGGGAGCAAACA